This 194-nucleotide transfer RNA is filed under the name Bartonella henselae. RNAcentral's name for it is "partial 16S-23S ribosomal RNA intergenic spacer". The stretch from base 104 to 177 matches the Rfam family "tRNA". The record is from RNAcentral. Lineage: Bacteria; Pseudomonadati; Pseudomonadota; Alphaproteobacteria; Hyphomicrobiales; Bartonellaceae.
CCAUGACAAAACAAGUCCACCGUGGGCUUUGAGACGCUUUCCUUGAUAAAAUUUAAGCGUUUUAUAAGAGGAUGCCGGGGAAGGUUUUCCGGUUUAUCCCGGAGGGCUUGUAGCUCAGUUGGUUAAGCGCGCGCUUGAUAAGCGUGAGGUCGGAGGCCCAAGCCCCUCCCAGGCCCACAGCUUCCUCACUUUUU